UGCGUAGGCGGCCCGUUAAGUCAGGGGUGAAAGGCUGUAGCUCAACUACAGAAUUGCCUUUGAUACUGACAGGCUUGAAAUAAAUUGAGGUUGGCGGAAUGUGACAUGUAGCGGUGAAAUGCAUAGAUAUGUCAUAGAACACCAAUUGCGAAGGCAGCUGACUAGAUUUUAUUUGACGCUGAGGCACGAAAGCGUGGGGAGCGAACAGGAUUAGAUACCCUGGUAGUCC
Molecule: ribosomal RNA, 229 nt
Filed under: uncultured bacterium
Lineage: Bacteria
Description: partial 16S ribosomal RNA
Rfam family: Bacterial small subunit ribosomal RNA
Source: RNAcentral